RNAcentral lists this ribosomal RNA (431 nucleotides) under uncultured bacterium. RNAcentral's name for it is "partial 16S ribosomal RNA". It matches the Rfam family "Bacterial small subunit ribosomal RNA", at positions 29 to 507 of the family's 1533-position model. The record is from RNAcentral.
AACGAACGCUGGCGGCAGGCCUAACACAUGCAAGUCGAGCGCCCUUUCGGGGGAGCGGCGGACGGGUGAGUAACGCGUGGGAAUAUGCCCUUCUCUACGGAAUAGCCUCGGGAAACUGAGAGUAAUACCGUAUACGCCCUGCGGGGGAAAGAUUUAUCGGGGAAGGAUUAGCCCGCGUUGGAUUAGGUAGUUGGUGGGUUAAUGGCCUACCAAGCCGACGAUCCAUAGCUGGUUUGAGAGGAUGAACAGCCACACUGGGACUGAGACACGGCCCAGACUCCUACGGGAGGAAGCAGUGGGGAAUCUUAGACAAUGGGGGCAACCCUGAUCUAGCCAUGCCGAGUGAGUGAUGAAGGCGUUAGGGUUGUAAAGCUCUUUCAGCUGGGAAGAUAAUGACGGUACCAGCAGAAGAAGCCCCGGCUAACUACGUG